GAUGAAGAACGCAGCGAAAUGCGAUAAGUAAUGUGAAUUGCAGAAUUCAGUGAAUCAUCGAAUCAUUGAACGCACAUUGCGCCCGCCAGUAUUCUGGCGGGCAUGCCUGUUCGAGCGUCAUUUCAACCAUCAAGCCCCCGGCUUGUGUUGGGGACCUGCGGCUGCCGCAGGCCCUGAAAACCAGUGGCGGGCUCGCUAGUCACUCCGAGCGUAGUAAUACAUCUCGCUCAGGGCGUGCUGCGGGUUCCGGCCGUUAAAAAGCCUUAUUUACCCAAGGUUGACCUCGGAUCAGGUAGGAAGACCCGCUGAACUUAAGCAUAUCAAUAAGCGGAGGA
RNAcentral lists this unclassified non-coding RNA (335 nucleotides) under soil metagenome. RNAcentral describes it as "partial contains 5.8S ribosomal RNA, internal transcribed spacer 2, and large subunit ribosomal RNA". The stretch from base 1 to 120 matches the Rfam family "5.8S ribosomal RNA", at positions 35 to 154 of the family's 154-position model. The record is from RNAcentral.